AAAAAACAUUAGACACUUUUCCU
Molecule: small nuclear RNA, 23 nt
Filed under: Arabidopsis thaliana (thale cress)
Lineage: Eukaryota; Viridiplantae; Streptophyta; Magnoliopsida; Brassicales; Brassicaceae
Description: snRNA_05161
Source: RNAcentral